AUUAGUGGCGAACGGGUGAGUAAUACGUGAGUAACCUGCCCUUGACUCUGGGAUAAGCCUGGGAAACUGGGUCUAAUACUGGAUACUACCUCUUACCGCAUGGUGGGUGGUGGAAAGGGUUUUACUGGUUUUGGAUGGGCUCACGGCCUAUCAGCUUGUUGGUGGGGUAAUGGCUCACCAAGGCGACGACGGGUAGCCGGCCUGAGAGGGUGACCGGCCACACUGGGACUGAGACACGGCCCAGACUCCUACGGGAGGCAGCAGUGGGGAAUAUUGCACAAUGGGCGGAAGCCUGAUGCAGCGACGCCGCGUGAGGGAUGACGGCCUUCGGGUUGUAAACCUCUUUCAGUAGGGAAGAAGCGAGAGUGACGGUACCUGCAGAAGAAGCGCCGGCUAACUACGUGCCAGCAGCCGCGGUAAUACGUAGGGCGCAAGCGUUGUCCGGAAUUAUUGGGCGUAAAGAGCUCGUAGGCGGUUUGUCGCGUCUGCUGUGAAAGCCCGGGGCUCAACCCCGGGUCUGCAGUGGGUACGGGCAGACUAGAGUGCAGUAGGGGAGACUGGAAUUCCUGGUGUAGCGGUGAAAUGCGCAGAUAUCAGGAGGAACACCGAUGGCGAAGGCAGGUCUCUGGGCUGUUACUGACGCUGAGGAGCGAAAGCAUGGGGAGCGAACAGGAUUAGAUACCCUGGUAGUCCAUGCCGUAAACGUUGGGCACUAGGUGUGGGGGACAUUCCACGUUUUCCGCGCCGUAGCUAACGCAUUAAGUGCCCCGCCUGGGGAGUACGGCCGCAAGGCUAAAACUCAAAGGAAUUGACGGGGGCCCGCACAAGCGGCGGAGCAUGCGGAUUAAUUCGAUGCAACGCGAAGAACCUUACCAAGGCUUGACAUUCACCGGACCGCCCCAGAGAUGGGGUUUCCCUUCGGGGCUGGUGGACAGGUGGUGCAUGGUUGUCGUCAGCUCGUGUCGUGAGAUGUUGGGUUAAGUCCCGCAACGAGCGCAACCCUCGUUCUAUGUUGCCAGCACGUGAUGGUGGGGACUCAUAGGAGACUGCCGGGGUCAACUCGGAGGAAGGUGGGGAUGACGUCAAAUCAUCAUGCCCCUUAUGUCUUGGGCUUCACGCAUGCUACAAUGGCCGGUACAAAGGGUUGCGAUACUGUGAGGUGGAGCUAAUCCCAAAAAGCCGGUCUCAGUUCGGAUUGAGGUCUGCAACUCGACCUCAUGAAGUCGGAGUCGCUAGUAAUCGCAGAUCAGCAACGCUGCGGUGAAUACGUUCCCGGGCCUU
RNAcentral lists this ribosomal RNA (1281 nucleotides) under Kocuria sp. RNAcentral describes it as "bacterial SSU rRNA". It matches the Rfam family "Bacterial small subunit ribosomal RNA", at positions 91 to 1382 of the family's 1533-position model. Lineage: Bacteria; Bacillati; Actinomycetota; Actinomycetes; Micrococcales; Micrococcaceae. The record is from RNAcentral.